GGCUCGUUGGUCUAGGGGUAUGAUUCUCGCUUCGUGUGUGAGAGGUCCCGGGUUCAAAUCCCGGACGAGCCC
Molecule: non-coding RNA, 72 nt
Organism: Salmo salar (Atlantic salmon)
Lineage: Eukaryota; Metazoa; Chordata; Actinopteri; Salmoniformes; Salmonidae
Source: Rfam